RNAcentral lists this ribosomal RNA (253 nucleotides) under uncultured bacterium. RNAcentral describes it as "partial 16S ribosomal RNA". It matches the Rfam family "Bacterial small subunit ribosomal RNA", at positions 524 to 776 of the family's 1533-position model. The record is from RNAcentral.
UACGUAGGGACCAAGCGUUGUUCGGAUUUACUGGGCGUAAAGGGCGCGUAGGCGGCAUGGCAAGUCACUUGUGAAAUCUCCGGGCUUAACUCGGAACGGCCAAGUGAAACUGUCAAGCUAGAGUGUGGAAGGGGCAAUCGGAAUUCUUGGUGUAGCGGUGAAAUGCGUAGAUAUCAAGAGGAACACCUGAGGUGAAGACGGGUUGCUGGGCCAACACUGACGCUGAUGCGCGAAAGCCAGGGGAGCAAACGGG